GUGUCAUGUCAUCCGUUAGAUCCAAGUACUCUAAGUCUUUUCUUAGAGUCUCUUCCAAAGUUUUCCUAGGUCUUCCUCUACCCCUUCGGCCCUGAACCUCUGUCCCGUAGUCACAUCUUCGAACCGGAGUGUCAGUCGGCCUUCUUUGCACAUGUCCAAAUCACCGGAGCCGAUUUUCUCUCAUCUUUCCUACAAUUUCGGCUACUCCUACUUUACCUCGGAUAUCCUCAUUCCCAAUCUUAUCCUUUCUCGUGUGCCCACACAUCCCACGAAGCAUCCUCAUCUCCGCUACACCCAUUUUGUGUACGUGUUGAUGCUUCACCGCCCAACAUUCUGUGCCAUACAACAUCGCUGGCCUUAUUGCCAUCCUAUAAAAUUUUUCCCUUGAGCUUCAGUGGCCUACGACGGUCACACAACACGCCGGAUGCGCUCUUACACUUCAUCCAUCCAGCUCGUAUUCUAUGGUUGAGAUUUCCAUCUAAUUCUCCGUUCUCUUGCAAGAUAGAUCCUAGGUAGCGAAAACGGUCGCUUUUUGUGAUCUUCGCUAGAUUGCUCCGGUCAUUAGUGUGGAUAAGUAUAUAAAUGGAUAGAGAUAGGAAAGCAAACACAAGAUGUACGUGGUUCACCCAGAUUGGCUACGUCCACGGAAUAGAAGAGUUCUCAUUAAUUGUGAAGGGUUUACACAAGUACAUAGGUUCAAGCUCUCCUUUAGUGAGUACAAGUGAAUGAUUUAGUACAAAUGACAUUAGGAAAUAUUGUGGGAGAAUGAUCUCGUAAUCACGAAACUUCUAAGUAUCGGAGUGUGGUGUCGUCUUGACUUGCCUUAUCUGUCUCAUAGGUAGAUGUGGCAUCUUCUCUGGAAGUACUUUUCCUCCAUCCAGGGGUGGUAUCUUUAACUGGUGGAGAUGCACAAGGUAAUGUAUCAAUUUCACUUGAAGCUUACUUGUAGUUUCAGGCUUGGUCAAGCGCGAUACAAACCAUGUAGUAGGAGUCCCCCAAGUCGCCGAGCUAGGGGGUCUGCUGAAAGAGGUGACAGACAAGGUAAGCAAUCAGAGCUCCGACUGAUUGUUCACCUUCUCCCCAUCUUGCAACAGCAUGAAGGAUAAAGAGAAGAAAAAUGAGAAGAGAUGAUAUGAGAUACUUUUGCUUUUGAAGAAGUAACUUUCCACAGGCUUAUUCUUGAACUGAGCUGGAGGGUUUUCUGGUUUCCUCCAGAGUAUAAGGCCGACUGAAGAAUUUGAGGGUCAAAACAAGUCCAUCAAAUCUAGAGUACGUUCCACCCUGCUGAUAUGGGAUACUUUUGCUUUUGACAGAGUAAUGGAUGUAUCGACACGUGUGUUGUUACGCUUGUCUCCACAUGCUUCCUUGUAUCCUUCGCACUUGCCCUAUCUGUUCCUCAAGCAGAUGCGGAAUCUUCCUUGGAAACAUAAGAUGUUGAAGAUGAGUACUCGAGAGCAAUGCCAGGUAAGUAAUCAGGUAAGGGGUUCCAGGCAGUCAGUUCCUGGCUGGAAGCUUGAUUCCAAGUGCUGACUGAUUGCUCUCUUUCUCCUUGUCUUGCAGGUAAAAACAAGGCCAAAGGAAAAGAUAGGGAAAAAGCAUGAUAUGGGAUACUCUUGCUUUUAACCCUGAUGAUAUGAGAUAUUCUUGCUCUAGUAUAGCUUGUUUGCAGAGGUAUUAUCGGGGGGAAAGAAAGCUGAAUAUUUCGAAAGGCUUCGUUGGGAGUGCCCUCUCAGAUAUGAUGAAGGGUUGAGCAUUUUUGCAGGUCUGCCUGUCCGUUGGGGAUGGAGGUUGACAUAUAUAGGCGUCUCCCUAACAACAAGUAGUAAUGCUAUUCCUUUACCCUGCUUGGUCAUAGCACGGUAGUGGGAGCUGUCAGUUUCACAUGUUUUAACUCUGUCAGAGCACUUUGAAAAAGUGGUCUGUGGUAUCUGGCUCUCGAGAUUCGGAGAACGAUGCCUCUUCGAUUUUUGAGAAAGCAAUCAUGCUGGGGGUCUGGCUCUCGAGAUUCGGAGGGCGGUGCCUCUUCGAUUUUGGAGCAAGCAAUCUUGUUGGGAGUGUUUGUCUCGAAUUUGAGUAAAGGUUGGGCAUGUUUGCUAGUCUACCUUGCCACGAAGCACAAAGGUUGACACACAGGGACUUUCCAAUUAUCCAGCAAUGGUACUGUUCCUUUACCCUCUCUUCGAUUUUGAGAAAGUAGUCAUGUUGGGAGAGUCUGGCUCUCGAGAUUCGGAGGACGGUGCCUCUUCGAUUUUGGAGCAAGCAAUCUUGUUGGGAGUGUUUUCUCGAAUGUGAGUAAAGGUUGGGCAUGUUUGCUAGUCUACCUUGCCACGAAGCACAGAGGUUGACACACAGGGACUUUCCAAUUAUCCAGCAGUGGUACUGUUCCUUUACCCUUGUGGGUAAUAUUAUGGUAGCUAGACCUUCAAAAUUUAUGUGUCUAAACUUUUGUUAGUGCUGUUUCUUUGCUAUUCUUUUACCUUUCUUGGUCAGAGCGAUGUAGUGGGAGCUGCAAGCUUCACGUGCUCAACUUUGGCAGAGAACUUUGACAAAGUUAUCUGUGGUACCCAUGAGCUAUUGUUGCGUGUGGGAAGUGGGUAAUUGAACAGUAAGAUUCAUGUGCUUUCUACUUCACUAGAAAUCUUCGACAGAAUGCCCAUAAUUUCUGCAAAGCUGAGUGUGCGUGUGACAGGUGCUGACAAGGCUAGAAAAGUAGGUGCCUCUUCGAUUUCUGAGAUCGGCCCUCGUGGUCUCUGAGCAGCCCAGCUUUUGAGAAAGCGAGCGCCUCUUCGAUUGAUUCGGAGAACGAUGCCUCAUCGAUUUUUGAGAAAACAAUCAUGCUGGGGGUUUGGCUCUCGAAGAUUCGGGGAGCAGUGUCUCUUCGAUUUUUUGAGAAAGUAAUCAUGUUGGGAGUCUGGCUCUCGAGAUUCGGAAGGCGGUGCCUCUUCGAUUUUGGAGCAAGCAAUCUUGUUGGGAGUGUUUUUCUCGAAUGUGAGUAAAGGUUGGGCAUGUUUGCUAGUCUACCUUGCCACGAAGCACAGAGGUUGACACACAGGGACUUUCCAAUUAUCCAGCAGUGGUACUGUUCCUUUACCCUUGUGGGUAAUAAUAUGGUAGCUAGACCUUCAAAAUUUAUGGGUCUAAACUUUGUUAGUGCUGUUUCUUUGCUAUUCUUUUACCCUUCUUGGUCAGAGCGAUGUAGUGGGAGCUGCAAGCUUCACGUGCUCAACUUUGGCAGAGAAACUUUGGCAAAGUUAUCUGUGGUACCCAUGAGCUAUUGUUGCGUGUGGGAAGUGGGUGAUUGAACAGUAAGAUUCAUGUGUUUUCUACUUCCCCAGAAGUCUUCGACAGAAUGCCCAUAAUUUCCGCAAAGCUGAGUGUGCGUGUGACAGGUGCUGACAAGGCUGGAAAAAUAGGUGCCUCUUCGAUUUCUGAGAUUGGCCCUCGUGGUCUCUGGGGAGCCCAGCUUUUGAGAAAGCGAGCGCCUCUUCGAUUUCUGAGAUCGGCCUUCGUGGUCUUUGAGCAGCCCAACUUUUGAGAAAGCAAAAGCCUCUUCGAUUUCUGAGAUCAACCCUCGUGAUCUCUAAGCAGCUCAGCUUUUGAGAAAGCAAACGCCUCUUCGAUUUCUGAGCAGGCGCCUCUUCGAUUUCUGAAGCUCCGUCGAGUGCAGAUUUUUAUAGGGGCUGGCAUUAAGUUCUAAAGCACACUUGAAUCUCCACCAGUAGAAGCUUCAUUCUUGCACUUCUAAGAUCUUGAUUUGUCCGACCUCUUCUCUCUUCAAACACCUUUGAAAAUGUCUGGCCCCUCCGACCGUCGUUUUGACUUGAACCUUGUUGAAGAGGCAGCCCCGCCUUCUCCAGACAACAUAUGGCGCCCAUCCUUCGUCUCCCCUACUGGUCCUCUUACCGUUGGGGAUUCCGUGAUGAAGAAUGAUAUGGCCGCUGCGGUGGUGGCCAGGAACCUUCUCACUCCCAAAGAUAACAGACUACUUUCCAAACGGUCUGAUGAGUUAGCUGUUAAGGAUUCGCUGGCUCUCAGUGUUCAGUGUGCAGGUUCUGUGUCUAAUAUGGCCCAACGCCUAUUUGCUCGAACCCGCCAAGUUGAAUCAUUGGCGGCUGAAGUGAUGAGUCUCAAACAGGAGAUUAGAGGGCUCAAGCAUGAGAAUAAACAGUUGCACCGGCUCGCACAUGACUAUGCUACAAACAUGAAGAGGAAGCUUGACCAGAUGAAGGAAACUGAUGGUCAGGUUUUUACUUGAUCAUCAGAGAUUUGUGGGUUUGUUCCAAAGGCAUUUAUUGCCUUCGUCUUCUGGGGCUGUACCGCGUAAUGAAGCUCCAAAUGAUCAACCUCUGAUGCCUCCUCCUUCUAGGGUUCUGUCCAGUACUGAGGCUCCAAAUGAUCCCCCUCCGGUGCCUUCUCUUUCUGGGGCUCUACCGACUGCUGAGACUUCUCCUAAGCAACCUUUGUGAAGGCUCCCUCUUGUGUGUUUAUUUUGACUCAUGUAUAUGUACAUAUUUGUAGCUUAUCGGGGAUAUCAAUAAAUAAGCUUUCCUUCAUUUCAACGUAUUGUGUUAAAUACACCAAAGCCUUCUUCGCUAAGUUCUUUGAAUUUUCUUUUGUUGAAGCUUGUAUGUUGAAGCUUUCUGAGUGGAGCAUGUAGGUUGGGGUAGUGUUCCCUUAAUUUCCCGAGUGAGGAAAACUUCUCGGUUGGAGACUUGGAAAAUCCAAGUCACUGAGUGGGAUCGGCUAUAUGAAUCUUAGAACGCCAUUGUGCUCGAUCCUGUGUCAUGUCCUUCGUUAGAUCCAAGUACUCUAAGUCUUUUCUUAGAGUCUCUUCCAAAGUUUUCCUAGGUCUUCCUCUACCCCUUCGGCCCUGAACCUCUGUCCCAUAGUCGCAUCUUCUAAUUGGAGCGUCAGUAGGCCUUCUUUGCACAUGUCCAAACCACCGUAACCGAUUUUCUCUCAUCUUUCCUUCAAUUUCGGCUACUCCUACUUUACCCCGGAUAUCCUCAUUCCUAAUCUUAUCCUUUCUCGUGUGCCCCACACAUCCAACGAAGCAUCCUCAUCUCCGCUACACCCAUUUUGUGUACGUGUUGAUGUUUCACCGCCCAACAUUCUGUGCCAUACAGCAUCGCCGGC
This 5136-nucleotide long non-coding RNA is filed under the name Malus domestica (apple). RNAcentral describes it as "long non-coding RNA (MDOM_LNC008897)". The record is from RNAcentral. Lineage: Eukaryota; Viridiplantae; Streptophyta; Magnoliopsida; Rosales; Rosaceae.